UGGGGAAUAUUGCGCAAUGGCCGAAAGGCUGACGCAGCGACGCCGCGUGUGGGAUGACGGCCCUCGGGUUGUAAACCACUGUCGGGGGGGACGAAUACAGGGCCUCGAAUAGGGGACCCUGGGUGACGGUACCUCCAAAGGAAGCACCGGCUAACUCCGUGCCAGCAGCCGCGGUAAUACGGAGGGUGCGAGCGUUGUCCGGAAUCACUGGGCGUAAAGGGCGCGUAGGCGGUUCGUUAAGUUGCUGGUGAAAUCCCGGGGCUCAACUCCGGGGCUGCCAGUAAGACUGGCGAGCUAGAGCACGGUAGAGGCGGAUGGAAUUCCCGGUGUAGCGGUGGAAUGCGUAGAUAUCGGGAAGAAUACCGGUGGCGAAGGCGUUCCGCUGGGCCGUUGCUGACGCUGAGGCGCGACAGCGUGGGGAGCAAACAGGAUUAGAUACCCCCGUAGUCC
RNAcentral lists this ribosomal RNA (450 nucleotides) under uncultured bacterium. RNAcentral describes it as "bacterial SSU rRNA". It matches the Rfam family "Bacterial small subunit ribosomal RNA", at positions 355 to 796 of the family's 1533-position model. The record is from RNAcentral.